AAUAGAUACCCGGGUAGUCCUAGCCGUAAACGAUACUCGCUAGGUGUCGGCCACGGUGCGACCGUUGUCGGUGCCGUAGGGAAGCCGUGAAGCGAGCCACCUGGGAAGUACGGCCGCAAGGCUGAAACUUAAAGGAAUUGGCGGGGGAGCACCACAACGGGUGGAGCUUGCGGUUUAAUUGGAUUCAACGCCGGAAAUCUUACCGGGACCGACAGCAACAUGAAGGCCAGGCUGAAGACUUUGCCGGAUUAGCUGAGAGGUGGUGCAUGGCCGUCGUCAGUUCGUACUGUGAAGCAUCCUGUUAAGUCAGGCAACGAGCGAGAUCCACGCCCACAGUUGCCAGCGUACUCUCUGGAGUGACGGGUACACUGUGGGGACCGCCGCUGCUAAAGCGGAGGAAGGAAUGGGCAACGGUUGGUCAGUAUGCCCCGAAUAUCCCGGGCUACACGCGAGCUACAAUGGUUGGUACAAUGGGUAUCUACCCCGAAAGGGGAUGGAAAUCUCCUAAAGCCAAUCUUAGUUCGGAUUGAGGGCUGCAACUCG
This 543-nucleotide ribosomal RNA is filed under the name uncultured bacterium. RNAcentral's name for it is "bacterial SSU rRNA". It matches the Rfam family "Archaeal small subunit ribosomal RNA", at positions 728 to 1270 of the family's 1478-position model. The record is from RNAcentral.